GCCACUGGUUUCAGUCAGUAAAGCAUGAAACUCGUAAUCUCAGGGUUGUGGGUUUGAGCCCCAUAUUGGGCA
RNAcentral lists this transfer RNA (72 nucleotides) under Podarcis lilfordi (Lilford's wall lizard). RNAcentral's name for it is "tRNA.Thr". Lineage: Eukaryota; Metazoa; Chordata; Lepidosauria; Squamata; Lacertidae. The record is from RNAcentral.